CAGCAGCCACGGGAAUACGUAGGGUGCAAGCGUUAAUCGGAAUUACUGGGCGUAAAGCGUGCGCAGGCGGUGUUGUAAGACUGAUGUGAAAUCCCCGGGCUCAACCUGGGAACUGCAUUUGUGACUGUAUAGCUAGAGUACGGCAGAGGGGGAUGGAAUUCCGCGUGUAGCAGUGAAAUGCGUAGAUAUGCGGAGGAACACCGAUGGCGAAGGCAAUCCCCUGGGCCUGUACUGACGCUCAUGCACGAAAGCGUGGGGAGCAAACAGGAUUAGAUACCCCCGUAGUCCCUGUCUCUUAUAC
This 301-nucleotide ribosomal RNA is filed under the name uncultured bacterium. RNAcentral describes it as "partial 16S ribosomal RNA". It matches the Rfam family "Bacterial small subunit ribosomal RNA", at positions 509 to 807 of the family's 1533-position model. The record is from RNAcentral.